UGUUCCUGUCCUAGGUAGAAUGGCAUCUAGCUUGUGGUGUCCACUUCAUAUCAGCCAGGGACAAUGCAAUUCCUUGUUCAUCUAUUUGGUCUAUGCUCAUGCCUCAUUCAUGCUUUGGAUAUACUG
Molecule: small nucleolar RNA, 126 nt
Organism: Erinaceus europaeus (western European hedgehog)
Lineage: Eukaryota; Metazoa; Chordata; Mammalia; Eulipotyphla; Erinaceidae
Source: Ensembl